Molecule: unclassified non-coding RNA, 561 nt
Filed under: Hevea brasiliensis (rubber tree)
Lineage: Eukaryota; Viridiplantae; Streptophyta; Magnoliopsida; Malpighiales; Euphorbiaceae
Source: RNAcentral
UUGUACCUUCUUCUGCGUGGCUCAAAGCUUCAAAAUAGGUACACAGACUCAGAGUCUCACAGUCACGGAGACCUACCAUCUACCUUACCGACAGUGAAUGGCGGCCGCCAGAGUGAUGGCAGCAACUGCUACAACCAACGCGACGUCGUGUCUGCUCCUCAAAAGAACAUUCUCUUUAAACCAAAAGCCUCACUUCAGCGGAUUCUGCUUCAAUGGGAAAAGACAAGUGUCCUUGUCCUCUUCCAAGAGAUCGCUUUUUACUUGUACCGCUUUACAUAAGCCUGAUGUCCUGAUCAAGGAGGAAGGUCAGCCUGAGACGCUCGAUUACCGUGUUUUCUUCCUCGACAACUCUGGGAAAAAGGUUUCUCCUUGGCAUGACAUACCCUUGCACUUGGGUGACGGUGUGUUCAACUUUGUUGUUGAAAUUCCCAAAGAAACAAAUGCAAAGAUGGAAGUUGCUACUGAUGAGUAUUUCACUCCAAUCAAGCAGGACACGAAAAAGGGGAAACUUAGAUAUUACCCCUAUAACAUAAACUGGAACUAUGGAUUGCUUCCACAAAC